UACAGAGGGUGCGAGCGUUAAUCGGAAUUACUGGGCGUAAAGCGUGCGUAGACGGUUAUUUAAGUCGGGUGUGAAAGCCCCGGGCUCAACCUGGGAAUUGCAUUCGAGACUGAAUAGCUAGGGUACGGUAGAGGGAAGCGGAAUUUCCGGUGUAGCGGUGAAAUGCGUAGAUAUCGGAAGGAACAUCAGUGGCGAAAACGGCUUCCUGGACCAGUACCGACGUUCAGGCACGAAAGCGUGGGGAGCAAACAGG
RNAcentral lists this ribosomal RNA (253 nucleotides) under uncultured bacterium. RNAcentral's name for it is "partial 16S ribosomal RNA". It matches the Rfam family "Bacterial small subunit ribosomal RNA", at positions 524 to 776 of the family's 1533-position model. The record is from RNAcentral.